This 462-nucleotide ribosomal RNA is filed under the name uncultured bacterium. RNAcentral's name for it is "partial 16S ribosomal RNA". It matches the Rfam family "Bacterial small subunit ribosomal RNA", at positions 29 to 507 of the family's 1533-position model. The record is from RNAcentral.
AGUGAACGCUGGCGGCGUGCCUAAUACAUGCAAGUCGAACGGAGAUUAAGUAGCUUGCUAUUUACUCUUAGUGGCGCACGGGUGAGUAAUAUAUAGCUAACUUGCCCAUUACUAAGGGACAACAGUUGGAAACGACUGCUAAUACCUUAUACUCCGUAUCUAUAUAAGUAGAUACGGGAAAGUUUUUCGGUAAUGGAUAGGGCUAUAUCGUAUCAGCUAGUUGGUAAGGUAAUGGCUUACCAAGGCUAUGACGCGUAACUGGUCUGAGAGGAUGAUCAGUCACUCUGGAACUGAGACACGGUCCAGACUCCUACGGGAGGCAGCAGUAGGGAAUAUUGCUCAAUGGGGGAAACCCUGAAGCAGCAACGCCGCGUGGAGGAUGACACUUUUCGGAGCGUAAACUCCUUUUCUUGGGAAAGAAUUAUGACGGUACCCAAGGAAUAAGCACCGGCUAACUCCGUG